CCUACGGGAGGCAGCAGUGGGGAAUAUUGCACAAUGGGGGAAACCCUGAUGCAGCGACGCCGCGUGAGCGAUGAAGUAUUUCGGUAUGUAAAGCUCUAUCAGCAGGGAAGAAAAUGACGGUACCUGACUAAGAAGCCCCGGCUAACUACGUGCCAGCAGCCGCGGUAAUACGUAGGGGGCAAGCGUUAUCCGGAUUUACUGGGUGUAAAGGGAGCGUAGACGGUCUUGCAAGGCAGAUGUGAAAGCCCGGGGCUCAACCCCGGGACUGCCUUUGGAACUGUAAGGCUGGAGUGUCGGAGAGGCAGGCGGAAUUCCUGGUGUAGCGGUGAAAUGCGUAGAUAUUAGGAGGAACACCGGUGGCGAAGGCGGCCUGCUGGACUGCAACUGACGUUGAGGCCCGAAAGCGUGGGGAGCAAACAGGAUUAGAUACCCUAGUAGUC
This 440-nucleotide ribosomal RNA is filed under the name uncultured bacterium. RNAcentral's name for it is "partial 16S ribosomal RNA". It matches the Rfam family "Bacterial small subunit ribosomal RNA", at positions 338 to 795 of the family's 1533-position model. The record is from RNAcentral.